This 497-nucleotide ribosomal RNA is filed under the name uncultured bacterium. Its description in RNAcentral is "partial 16S ribosomal RNA". It matches the Rfam family "Bacterial small subunit ribosomal RNA", at positions 28 to 507 of the family's 1533-position model. The record is from RNAcentral.
GAUGAACGCUGGCGGCGUGCCUAAUACAUGCAAGUCGAGCGAACAGACGAGGAGCUUGCUCCUCUGACGUUAGCGGCGGACGGGUGAGUAACACGUGGAUAACCUACCUAUAAGACUGGGAUAACUUCGGGAAACCGGAGCUAAUACCGGAUAAUAUAUUGAACCGCAUGGUUCAAUAGUGAAAGACGGUUUUGCUGUCACUUAUAGAUGGAUCCGCGCCGCAUUAGCUAGUUGGUAAGGUAACGGCUUACCAAGGCAACGAUGCGUAGCCGACCUGAGAGGGGGGUCGGCCACCUGGGAGCUGAGACAGGGUCCAGACUCCUACGGGAGGCAGCAGUAGGGAAUCUUCCGCAAUGGGCGAAAGCCUGACGGAGCAACGCCGCGUGAGUGAUGAAGGUCUUCGGAUCGUAAAACUCUGUUAUUAGGGAAGAACAAAUGUGUAAGUAACUAUGCACGUCUUGACGGUACCUAAUCAGAAAGCCACGGCUAACUACGUG